GACGAACGCUGGCGGCGUGCUUAACACAUGCAAGUCGAACGGAAAGGCUCGGGUUUUGGGGGGGGCUGGGGUGGCAACCGGGGGGGAACCGCGUGAAUAACGGGGCCAAGCACUGGGGAUAGCUUCUGGAAACUAGGGCGAAGACCGGAUGGAAGCUCAAGUUGCUGGGGAGGAGCUGGAAAGUUUCGGCGGUUGGGGAUGGGUGAGCGCCUAUGAAGGCUGUGAGCGGGGGAGUGGCUUACCAGGGGUUUGACGGGACGCGGGCCUGAGAGGGUGACCGGCCACAUUGGGACUGAGAGACGGCCCAGACUCCUACGGGAGGGAGCAGUGGGGAAUAUUGCACAAUGGGCGGAAGAGUGAUGCAGCAACGCCGCGUGCGGGAUGACGGGCCUCGUGUUUUAAACCGCUUUCGCCUGUGACGAAGCGGGAGUGACGGUAAUGGGUAAAGAAGCACCGGCUAACUACGUG
This 468-nucleotide ribosomal RNA is filed under the name uncultured bacterium. Its description in RNAcentral is "partial 16S ribosomal RNA". It matches the Rfam family "Bacterial small subunit ribosomal RNA", at positions 28 to 507 of the family's 1533-position model. The record is from RNAcentral.